AUGAAAGAGUAAAUUUGUGAUUUGCAAACAUUUGCAAAGUGAAGAUUUACUCAGAGCAGGCAAAGCUAGUCUUUGAUUGCUCGGUACAAGUAAACUCUUUGUAAUACAUUGACGCCUACGCGACAAGUGUAGGGGUUGUAAGUGAGCUCGUCCGCAGGAACAUUCAAUUUUGUAUUAAUGAGUUGAAUAGCACUGAGAAUCGACUGGAGUCAGAUGCUGCUACUACCAGGAUACAUUUUCUGUCCUGGAUGGAGUAAGUCUGCAACGUAGAGGCAUACGUGGCAAAUACAGUUGAAUCAACUGCUACUUUGUCGCCUUGACUCUAGCCGAUUUGAAUACUAUUCGAUAGCUUUGGGUACGAGACCGUGGAAUACUGCGGUUCUCUGUACUCAAUGAAACUCGUUUUCACCACAUGGCAAACCUAACUAUUGCUUGCUUCUCGCCUCGGGCUGGAGGUGAGUCAGAAUAGUAAUCUGGUUGA
This 481-nucleotide ribosomal RNA is filed under the name Euplotes rariseta. RNAcentral describes it as "partial 17S ribosomal RNA". Lineage: Eukaryota; Ciliophora; Spirotrichea; Euplotida; Euplotidae. The record is from RNAcentral.